RNAcentral lists this ribosomal RNA (464 nucleotides) under uncultured bacterium. RNAcentral's name for it is "partial 16S ribosomal RNA". It matches the Rfam family "Bacterial small subunit ribosomal RNA", at positions 28 to 507 of the family's 1533-position model. The record is from RNAcentral.
GACGAACGCUAGCGGCGUGCUUAACACAUGCAAGUCGAACGGAAAGGCCCUGCUUGCAGGGUACUCGAGUGGCGAACGGGUGAGUAACACGUGGGUGAUCUGCUCUGCACUUCGGGAUAAGCCUGGGAAACUGGGUCUAAUACCGGAUAGGAGCCAUUUUUAGUGUGAUGGUUGGAAAGUUUUUUCGGUGUAGGAUGAGCUCGCGGCCUAUCAGCUUGUUGGUGGGGUAAUGGCCUACCAAGGCGGCGACGGGUAGCCGGCCUGAGAGGGUGGACGGCCACAUUGGGACUGAGAUACGGCCCAGACUCCUACGGGAGGCAGCAGUGGGGAAUAUUGCACAAUGGGCGCAAGCCUGAUGCAGCGACGCCGCGUGGGGGAUGACGGCCUUCGGGUUGUAAACUCCUUUCGCUAGGGACGAAGCUUUUGUGACGGUACCUAGAUAAGAAGCACCGGCUAACUACGUG